CCGCUCGUGGCCGCGCUGCCUCCUCCCUCAGUGUCCGUUCGUGCCUCGCGCCGCGCGGAGCUUCGUGCCGCCCGCUGCUUCCUGGGGCUCCCGGCGCGGGCUGGCAGCGCUCAGUGCCCCACAGAAGCUCCGUGUGGAGGAGCCCGGCCCGCCCGCAGCUGCCGGAGUGAGGCGGUGGGAGGGGGGGGAGCCGGGUCCGACCGCAGAGCGACUGGGACUGAGAAGGUUUGUUCUCUGUGGCUUGGCAAAGCCUCCUGAUCCUCCUGCUAGAGGAGAAGCAAUUUCUCCAUCCAUCUAGAUGUGGAUAAUGAGCCCAGCGAAGUUCUCAUGACUUACAAAACCAUGCCCAUGCUCUCUGUUCCCAUCUGUAAAGUUUUUCCAGAGCUCAGCAAGUGGGGAGGACACCAAACCUGAAAAACGAGCCAGCAGACAACUGCAGUCUAACAGAUAAUUUUCUCAACAUCUUCGUCAGAUUUACAAGACAGAUAGACUGUUACCUGGGUACAAUCUGUAUCCUCAAAUCAGGUCUCUCAGCAAAAGCCAUCUGUAAUCUGUUGAGAAGAGGUAUUAUCUCUUUCAUACGUUAAAUCAUGCCAUAAAGUAUUUUGGGGCAUUUCUUGUAUCUAAAUCUGCACUGUACUAACUGCUUCUAUGGAAUUUCAGAUGUACUCUGUGAGGAACAGAAGCUUUGCAGUUCUUUCCCUUAGUGGCCUCAAACUUCUGCAUAAGUUGUACAAAUCUUUCUUAUAAAUCUUAUAUUUCAUUCUGCUUUAGUAAAGCUGAGAUGUAUCAAUACGAGUUAAAAGAAGAUAAAUUCUUUGUACUCUUCAACUAAAGUUAAUAAAGUGCCAUCUUGAAAUUAUUAGAAAGGUGACAAAAUUGGUUUUAUUAGAUGAUGAAACUGCAAGUAAUGGUGGAUAAACGCAGGUAAAACAUUCUUCUCAGAAAUCUAAACUUAUAAUUAACAUUGACCAUAGGCAAUAGGAACAAAUAAAGCAGUAACUUGAUGACAGUGGGAUUUCAAAGAAUGUUUUCAUGGUGCUUGAUGUAGCAUUUAGGAACGUGUUCCCAUUUGUUGCUACUGGACAUUUUAUCUCUUAUGGAAAGCACUUAUGAGCUCAAGCAGGAAUCUACACUUGAGCUGGAAAAGCAAAACUAUUCAUGCAUGGAUAUAUGAAAAUAUGUAUUGCAAUAUACAUGCAGACAAAAAAACUACAGUGCCAUAUUUUAUGCUAACAAAAAGUCUUUUAUCUCUAGAUCACAGAAUUAGAGGCAUCUUGGUUGUAUAAUGAGAUAAAGACUCUCAAGUGAGCCUGCAAAGCCAGCACAGAUGUCCUGCCUUGUUUUCAGCCUGGUUUUGGACAGAGACAUGGCCAUGCACAGCGUUCUGAAUUCAAUGCAGUUCUCAGCUACUAAAUGCUGACAUUUUCAAAGUAACAUGCUUAUUCCAUUUGUGUUUAUUUGCGAGGAGCACGAUAUUUGGAAAAUACAGUGAUUUUAAAGUAAUUCAGGAACAUCGUAUGGUCUGCAUUUGAGCAGCAGGGAAUGUACACGUUGACGCUGCUGUUAGUAGGCCUGGGCUAUUCAUCUAGCUCAUGUUUGAGGACAUCCCCAUAGAACACAAGUCCUGACCUUACAGUUCGGUUCAUGUAGGGAGUUCCCCAUGCUUACAGAGCUCUGAUUAGGUCAACAAGGCUAGACAUGGGUACUGAUCCUGUGUGAUUGGAUUAUGGGAUUGAAGCUGUGAUUUGUCCUACUAAACCAACCUAAGUUACUUAAACAGAUAAAUCCAGUUAUCAGAUUUUGUUUCUUAGCAAUAACACUUUCCAAAAUGCAAAACAAACAACCAAAAAGCUCACCCCCUCGCUUUCCUCGUGUGUUUGAUGGACUACUUCAUCUUUUAGUUUGCAUUGUCACAAAGUGUACAUAGGACUGCGAAGAUAGCAGAAAGAACAACUCCAAGUGCAAAAGUAGUCAAGGUGUUAUUUCCUUUUCCCACAAAACUGAUAUAAAACACAACUCUUUAAUUCCUUCUGAUUCUACUUAAGCCCACCCCACCAUGGACCCUGAGCUGUUUGACAGAGAUCCUUCCAUAAAGGCAAAUCAGCUUGGAACCGCAUCGUCUCAUGCAGUAAAUUCACUCCUCAUCCUACACUUAUGGCAAAAUGACGUAAGAAAAUUAAACCAAUAACGUGUUCACAGCACUUGUGAGGUCUGUCCCUGCUCCGAGUUUAAGCUUUGUCUCUCAUGUUUGUGUGUUACAAGAGUCCUCUUACAAAUCUCAUUGACUGUCAUGGCUGGAGCGUCUGCUGGGAGGUAGAAAUGCAGUUCCUUCCCAGGCAGAUCAGCUGCUGGAUUUGGCAAGCAUAGAUGAGUAACAAAAGUUUACCAGAUGUGUUUUAAUUGAUAAAUGCAUUAUUUUGUGCUAACUAUAGCAGUGAUAACAACACACAAAGUACAGUUGAAGGUUUGGACAAUGCUGUUUCAAUAGCAGCCCUCAGAAAAACACACUUCCUGUGUGAGAGAAGCUGCUGAAUAGUUCAUUCAGGAGCAGCUACGGGGCCUCAUGGAUAUUAGGAAAAGACUUCAGAACUGUCUGUAAGUUGAGCAAGUAGCACAGAGACCUGCUCAACUGACACUUAAAAACCCCCCCACAAACAGUAAUUUAGAAACUAAAUAGUUUAGCUGAAUAGAAAUUAUGUUAUCAACUGCAAACUAAUUAUUUUAAACCAGAAGGGAAAGUGAAGAAGAGCUCUGGAAAUCACGUUUCAUAGUGACAACGCAGACCAGACAGGUAGUAUGUUAAGCAACAGACUGUAGGGAACACUUACCUGAAAUCAAAGCGGAGGACCAACAAACAUGCUGCAGUCUGUACAGAUGUUCUCACUGAGAGACACAGCAAACAGAAGAUGCAGCCUAAAACAACAGAUAGCAGGAGGUGUACAAACAAGCACUUAGAAAGGUGCUCUCCUUUAUCUCGGAUUGGUACUUCAGUACCUUUAUACCGUAGAAGGGGAGCAAAGGCCAGAAACUGGAAACGUCCUGAUUAUUUCUACCUCUGGAAUCAGUCCUGCAUGCUUGCAGUCAGCGCGCAGCACUUGGAAUGCAAGGCUUAAGAUCUGAAAAGCUAUUUAGGAAUCUCUGCUGUAAAAAAUAUGCCUUAUUGCAAGAGGCCAGACAGGAACACUGAACUCUGAAGGGUCAUUUGUGAAUAACUUCAAGCUUAAGUGAUUAAGGGCUCCAGGCUCCAGCUCCACCCAGCCUAAAAAAUGUAUUAGAAACAUCCUGCUUUGUCAUUGCUGCUGGCCUGUUCUUCAGUGAGCAAGAGAGGAGUUGGACUUUUGUGUUGGCUUUGGUCCUGUGCCCCCGGGGUACUUUUAACAAUGCACAAUACUGUAAAGAAUUCUGAAACGUUUUUAUAACUUCCUUUGAACUGUGAGGAUAAAGAUAAAUAAAGAGGUUUUGGGCAUAGAAAGCAAACAGACGGCACUUCCUAAGGCUCAUGAUAUUUACAGCGUGCUUUUACAAGCAUGCAGUAGUACUUGUUAACAAGAACCCUACACAUUCUCUAUUCUUUUAAAUGGAAGGCAAAGCGUUCCAUCUACUUUUCAAAAAUAUUCUUAUAAAGAAAAUGACAUCUUUUCUAUUCAUUUAGGACAUUUUUCUUUCCUCUUCCGAAAUUAAACUGUGGUGCAAGACUAGGCUGGCUAACUCAGGAAAUACUUUGGAAUUAAAUUCAAUCUGAUUGGUUCAUUAAGGCACGUCAAAGAGAAGAAGGGUAAAAAGCACUGGGUAUAAUUAACCUGGAGCUCAGCUAGCAGACAUCCAAAGCCGAGCAUAAACACACCUGUGUUCCCCCAAAGGAUUUUAAUACAUCUGCCAAAUGAUGAGCACACAUCUCUCAAAUUGUAUCUGUAAAACAAAACAAAAAUACCCUCUAUCCCUCUAUGUAGUCGGAAAUAGGAACGUUUAAGUUACAUGUACAUCUCUAUGAUACACAGACUGCAACACUGGGAUGAGCAGCAGCACAGUUGGUUCUUUUGUUGAGUACAGACAAAAGAUCCUUUUUUUAAUAAGACAUUUAUUUCUGUUUUUAAAUAGCUCGAUAAAACCCACAAUCGGUACUCAAGAGUUCAAAUGUAAACAUUUACAGUGUAUUAUACCAUAAUACCGCCGUGUAUUAAUUCUGUACAUCCAACUAUUUGCGGUGACAAUCCAUAAGACCAGUCACAUUCAGCAUAUUUAUAAACUGAAAUGCACUGUACUGAGAUCAAAACAAUGCCAUAGCUGGAAAUAUUGGAAAGAUGUUCAACUCCCUCCUGUGGUGUAAGUCAGCAGCAUCACAACCAGCUUCUGGAAGCUUAGACAGCACGUUAACAACCAAAUGCCUGCACUUAUUGCAGUAGGACAACAGAUUUCAAGCUUACUGUGGAAACUCAGAAGUAAUAAAGUGUUAGAUUUCUGAAAUACAUACAAAGUUGUAAACAGUUUUUCUCUGGAACACACAUAAAAAUGGUUUGUGCCAACCUUCUCUAUCUCCCACACUGAAAACAUUAGGCCAAAAACAAUAGACUGAAAUUGCUUUGCACGGGUAGCAUCACAGUUUGCAGGAUGUAUGACGGUGUCAGCAGUUACAGUGAGUGUCAGGCAGCGGGAGCACAACCCAUUUCCAAGAAGGUUCCCAGAACACUCAUCCACCAAUGAAUGAGGCGCUACACAUUGAUAUACCGACAUUUGGGAGCGAGAACUGCCUACACUCAGGUAUCUGUGUAUUUGAUGGGUGAAACUGACCACAACCAGAAGACCAAAGAAUGUUGUUCCUGAUUUUUAACCAUUUUGGGGCAUCACAUUCUAACUAGGUGGAUCUUCCAUAGAGCAGGAAGAUGUUCAAAGCAGACUGAGAUCACAGAAGUAUCCAGAGUCAUGUCAAGGCAGAUGUUCUACACAGAAGUCCCUUUGGCCAUUAUUAUUAUUAUUAUUAUUUGAUUUCACCAUUAACAAUGAAGUAGUAAAGGAGGACAGCAUCAUUCUAACACUGCCGCAUUAUUUAUUCACCCAACAAGUGUCAGCAGAUGGUUUACCUGUGUCCUCGUAUUCAGUAUCUGAGUUGAUCAGAAAUGAAAAAAUCAGCCUUGCAGCUGCAAUCAUUGCUUUCUUAAACAUCAGCCACAAUGUAUUUGAUGAGCCCUACACUGCAGCUGAAGUUUUCGUGUGACAGAGGUAAUACAUCUUGCUUUGAAGGGAAAAAGACUCCCUGCUGCUCUGCCAGAUACACCACUGGUCACAGCCAAGUCACCCUGUGGAUACUUAAAUCUCUGGUUUCUGUCAGUUUGUUAUUCAUAAUAAAUUACAGGGCAGCGUUUCUGAAGAGGAAGAGAAUUUCAGCAUACGCUUAUGGUAAAGUUUAUGGGAAGGGAGGAGAAGGCAGCUACAGGUAGGACCAGGCCGUAAUUAAAAAAGCAAACAAGAAACGUGGCAAUAAGCUGAAACGUUGGGCAAGUAGGGACAGACUGCCUCCAGAAACUGAAAGAACAUCUACUUUUAGCAUAUGUGUACACAUACACACAUAAGGGGGGGAAACAGGGAGAAAAAAAGGCAAACUUUGGCAAAGCUUAAGAAAGUGCAGUCUU
Molecule: non-coding RNA, 5630 nt
Organism: Coturnix japonica (Japanese quail)
Lineage: Eukaryota; Metazoa; Chordata; Aves; Galliformes; Phasianidae
Source: RefSeq, a predicted model, not a curated record